Long non-coding RNA from Mugil cephalus (flathead mullet), 1328 nucleotides. RefSeq lists it as uncharacterized. The record is from RefSeq and is a predicted model, not a curated record. Lineage: Eukaryota; Metazoa; Chordata; Actinopteri; Mugiliformes; Mugilidae. The transcript has 11 exons.
GGGGGCGUGGCCAGCGGCUGUUGUUACUGCGGCUUCAUCCAAAGAGAAAAGAGACACUGAGCGAAACAGGGCGACACUCUCCUCACAAUAGUUGUGUUUUUGGUCAGUAAGCGGAUAUUUUGUGACAGCACGCAGCCGAGCCGAUGUCGGCCAUUGUUCUAAACAGGACGGUAUGUGAGCUGAGAGAGGAUGAGCUGAGUCCUGAUGAUCCAGAGGUUGAAUCAGCAGCAGCUUGUGUGUAGAGAGACUCUGACUGGACCAUGUUACUGGGAGGUGGAGUCAAGAGGAGAGCUUCAUCCACAUGUUUCUCCAUGUCAGACCAGUGGUGUAGUCUAUGUGAUACGCAGCGUUCACUUUUGGACCAUGGGGGCUUCCGUCAAGCGUGAUGUGGACCCGACGUUAACUACUAAGGAAGCAGUGAAGUUGUGCGGCGGCAACGAGUCGACAACUUGAACUGGUCCAACGCUCGUUAGUGGAGAAGGAAUGUGGAGAAAAAACAAUGAGAAGAAAGAAAAGGAAGCCCAGUGACACUAUUUGAGAUGGUAGGGAAGGAGAGCUGAUGACGCUGUCGUCCUACCUGGUUGUGUAUCUGCACUGCAACAAAAUCCACUGGCGUCCUCACAGAGGAAAGGGCGUCUACAUCUGAGGAGUGGGUGUCCUUUAAAAUCCAGUCCUCAGACACAAACCACAAACAGCUCUAGAUGUUGAAACUGUGUGACUGCAUGGUGUACAUCUAGCAACCCCCCCUUAUACAACACUCAACAUGGUACAGUCUACCUCUCCCUCCUAUAAAUCUAGUUGGAAUCGUCCACUUCCUGUUUGCCAGUCUGGCCUCCUACCUGGGCAGGUGUGGAUGGAGCACAUGGAACAAACAUUUGGACUCAACCCAGAGAACAGGACCUUCACAAGCAAUAACACCCUAUAGAACAUCAGGAGGAGACGCGGCCAUGAUGGUUUCUAAGACUACGACUAAAGAACAGCAACGUCGCAGGAAGACUCUACAGAACAUCAGGAGGAGACACGGCCAUGAUGGUUUCUAAGACUUCACCUGAACAACAGCAACUUUACAAAAGGAGGAGACGUGGCCAUGAUGGUUUCCAGGACUUCACGUGAAGAGGAGGAUCUUCGUGCCACAGAUGAGUUUCCAGGUAAAACUGAAGAUGAGUCGUGGUCUGACUUGGUCUCCUUCUCAUCCUGAACCUUUCCUCAGAGCUGGUCUCAUCAUGAGCUUCACAGAGAAACCUUCUGACUUCAGUGACUCCUCACAGGAAACUGUAUUAAAAUGUGAUUUGUUGUUUUUUAUGGUAAAAUAAAAUCUUUUUAUCAAA